CUAAGAAUAUUCCGCAAUGGACGGAAGUCUGACGGAGCGACGCCGCGUGGAUGACGAAGGCCGAAAGGUUGUAAAGUUCUUUUGCUGGGGAAGAAUAACCGCAGGAGGGAAUGCCUGUGGGAUGACAAGAACCGGCGAAUAAGCCCCGGCCAACUACGUGCCAGCAGCCGCGGUAACACGUAGGGGGCGAGCGUUGUUCGGAAUUACUGGGCGUAAAGGGCAUGUAGGCGGCUUGGAAAGCCUGGCGUGAAAGUCUGCAGCUUAACUGCAGGGGUGCGCUGGGAACUGCUGAGCUUGAGUGACGGAGAGGGAGCUGGAAUUCCUGGUGUAGGGGUGAAAUCUGUAGAUAUCAGGAAGAACACCGAUGGCGAAGGCAAGCUCCUGGCCGAUGACUGACGCUGAGGUGCGAAAGUGUGGGGAUCAAACAGGAUUAGAUACCCUGGUAGUCCACACAGUCAACGAUGUGCACUAGGUGCUGGGGCGGUAGCUUCGGUGCCGGAGCGAACGUGGUAAGUGCACCGCCUGGGGAGUAUGCUCGCAAGGGUGAAACUUAAAUGAUUGAC
This 563-nucleotide ribosomal RNA is filed under the name uncultured bacterium. RNAcentral's name for it is "partial 16S ribosomal RNA". It matches the Rfam family "Bacterial small subunit ribosomal RNA", at positions 355 to 914 of the family's 1533-position model. The record is from RNAcentral.